UACGAAGGGGGCUAGCGUUGCUCGGAAUCACUGGGCGUAAAGCGCGCGUAGGCGGCCCUGUAAGUCCGCUGUGAAAGUCAAAGGCUCAACCUUUGAAAGCCGGUGGAUACUGCAGGGCUAGAGUCCGGAAGAGGCGAGCGGAAUUCCCGGUGUAGCGGUAAUAUGCGUAGAUAUCGGGAGGAACACCAGUGGCGAAGGCGGCUCUCUGGGGUAUUUCUGACGCUGAGGCACGAAAGCCAGGGGAGCGAACGGG
This 253-nucleotide ribosomal RNA is filed under the name uncultured bacterium. RNAcentral describes it as "partial 16S ribosomal RNA". It matches the Rfam family "Bacterial small subunit ribosomal RNA", at positions 524 to 776 of the family's 1533-position model. The record is from RNAcentral.